Molecule: ribosomal RNA, 268 nt
Filed under: uncultured archaeon
Lineage: Archaea
Description: partial 16S ribosomal RNA
Rfam family: Archaeal small subunit ribosomal RNA
Source: RNAcentral
AGUCACUGACAUUAGACUACCCCCGUAGUCCAGGGUGUAAACGCUGCAGACUUGGUGUUGGAGGCCCGUUUGGGGGCAUUCAGUGCCGGAGAGAAGUUGUUAAGUCUGCUACGUUGGGAGUACGUCCGCAAGGAUAGAAACUUAAAGGAAUUGGCGGGGGAGCACCGCAACGGGAGGAGCGUGCGGUUUAAUUGGAUUCAACACCGUAAAACUCACCAGGGAAGACUGUUACAUGAAGGCCGAGAUGAAGACUCUGCUAGAUUUUCAG